RNAcentral lists this ribosomal RNA (560 nucleotides) under Speiropsis pedatospora. Its description in RNAcentral is "eukaryotic LSU rRNA". The stretch from base 196 to 349 matches the Rfam family "5.8S ribosomal RNA". Lineage: Eukaryota; Fungi; Ascomycota; Dothideomycetes. The record is from RNAcentral.
AAGGAUCAUUAUCGAGUAUUGGGGUUCCUUUCGGGCCCCUACUCCCACACCAUGUUAACCAACCUCUCGUUGCUUCGGCGGGCCGCGCCUCUUCUGGCGCGCCGGCUCCCCAGCGGGGCCGGACAGCGCUCGCCGAAGGACCAACGCAAAACUCUCUGAAUCGUGACGAGUCUGAGAAAUUUUUAAAUGAAUCAAAACUUUCAACAACGGAUCUCUUGGUUCUGGCAUCGAUGAAGAACGCAGCGAAAUGCGAUAAGUAAUGUGAAUUGCAGAAUUCAGUGAAUCAUCGAAUCUUUGAACGCACAUUGCGCCCCUUGGUAUUCCGAGGGGCAUGCCUGUUCGAGCGUCAUUUCAACCCUCAAGCUUCUGCUUGGUAUUGAGCGUCUUUCGCCCUCUUGUCAAAGGGGGCGCGCUCGAAACCCGUGGGCGGUGGCACCCAGCGUCGAAGCGUAGUCAUUCAUUCCGCUUUCCGACAACCUGGGCGCUCACCCGCCGGGCAACAAUCAAUUUUUUUUAUCAGGUUUGACCUCGGAUCAGGUAGGGAUACCCGCUGAACUUAA